AAGUCGUACAAGGUCUCCGUAGGUGAACCUGCGGAGGGAUCAUUACACAAAUAUGAAGCCGGACUGGGAUAGGGCCUCGCUGCCUUGCCCGUCUGGCGCCAUAUUCACCCAUGUCUUUUUGCGUACUACUUGUUUCCUUGGCGGGUCCGCCCGCCAAUUGGACCUUAUUCAAACCUUUUUUUCAGUUGCAAUCAGCGUCAGCAAAACAAAUGUAAUCAAUUACAACUUUCAACAACGGAUCUCUUGGUUCUGGCAUCGAUGAAGAACGCAGCGAAAUGCGAUAAGUAGUGUGAAUUGCAGAAUUCAGUGAAUCAUCGAAUCUUUGAACGCACAUUGCGCCCUUUGGUAUUCCAAAGGGCAUGCCUGUUCGAGCGUCAUUUGUACCCUCAAGCUUUGCUUGGUGUUGGGCGUCUUGUCUCUCUCCCGAGACUCGCCUUAAAAUCAUUGGCAGCCGGCCUACUGGUUUCGGAGCGCAGCACAUUAUUUGCGCUCUUGUCCAGCCGCGGUCGCGCGUCCAUGAAGCUUCUUUCAACCUUUUGACCUCGGAUCAGGUAGGGAUACCCGCUGAACUUA
This 573-nucleotide ribosomal RNA is filed under the name Pyrenophora tritici-repentis. Its description in RNAcentral is "eukaryotic LSU rRNA". The stretch from base 224 to 377 matches the Rfam family "5.8S ribosomal RNA". The record is from RNAcentral. Lineage: Eukaryota; Fungi; Ascomycota; Dothideomycetes; Pleosporales; Pleosporaceae.